UACGGAGGGUGCAAGCGUUAUCCGGAUUUAUUAGGUCUAAAGGGUGCGUAGGCUGAUGAUUAAGUCAGUGGUGAAAUCCUACAGCUUAACUGUAGAACUGCCAUUGAUACUGGUCAUCUUGAAUUUAGUUGAGGUAGGCGGAAUGUGUAGUGUAGCGGUGAAAUGCUUAGAUAUUACACAGAACACCGAUUGCGAAGGCAGCUUACUAAGCUAUAAUUGACGCUGAGGCACGAAAGCGUGGGGAGCGAACAGG
This 253-nucleotide ribosomal RNA is filed under the name uncultured bacterium. RNAcentral describes it as "partial 16S ribosomal RNA". It matches the Rfam family "Bacterial small subunit ribosomal RNA", at positions 524 to 776 of the family's 1533-position model. The record is from RNAcentral.